GUACCUGCGGAGGGAUCAUUACAGAGUUGCAAAACUCCCAAACCAUCGUGAACGUUACCUACAUCGUUGCUUCGGCGGGUGGCGGGCUUCGGCCCUGCCCUCGGCCCCUCUCGGGGGCCCGCCGGAGGUACACCAAACUCUUGAAUUUACAUGGCCUCUCUGAGUCUUCUGUACUGAAUAAGUCAAAACUUUCAACAACGGAUCUCUUGGUUCUGGCAUCGAUGAAGAACGCAGCGAAAUGCGAUAAGUAAUGUGAAUUGCAGAAUUCAGUGAAUCAUCGAAUCUUUGAACGCACAUUGCGCCCGCCAGUAUUCUGGCGGGCAUGCCUGUCCGAGCGUCAUUUCAACCAUCAAGCCCCCGGCUUGUGUUGGGGACCUGCGGCACACCCGCAGGCCCUGAAAACCAGUGGCGGGCUCGCUGUCCACACCGAGCGUAGUAGCAUAUCUUUGUCUCGCUCAGGGCGUGCGGCGGGUUCCGGCCGUGAAACCCACCUUCUCGAAGGUACCCAAAGGUUGACCUCGAUCAGGUAGGAAACCCCCCCUC
This 543-nucleotide ribosomal RNA is filed under the name fungal sp. Its description in RNAcentral is "eukaryotic LSU rRNA". The stretch from base 187 to 340 matches the Rfam family "5.8S ribosomal RNA". Lineage: Eukaryota; Fungi. The record is from RNAcentral.